This is a non-coding RNA of Cricetulus griseus (Chinese hamster), 461 nucleotides long. The record is from the annotation of a RefSeq genome assembly. Lineage: Eukaryota; Metazoa; Chordata; Mammalia; Rodentia; Cricetidae.
AUGCUUCCUGACACCUGCCCAGUUCUGCUGCUCCUCUUGAUGCUUGGAAAGAUCAAUGGAGACUCAGUGACCCAGACAGAAGGCCUGGUUACUGUCACAGAGGGGUCACCUGUGAUGCUGAGCUGCGCUUAUCAGACUACUUAUUCGGCUCCUACAGUUUUCUGGUAUGUGCAAGAUCUCAACAAAGCCCCUCAGCUGCUCCUGAAGAGCCUCACAGACAACAAGAGGACAGAGCACCAAGGGUUCCAUGCCACUCUCCAUAAGAGCAACAGUUCGUUCCACCUGCAGAAGUCCUCAGUGCAGCUGUCAGACUCUGCCCUGUACUACUGUGCUCUGAGUGACACAGUGACAGAGAUGCAGGGGAAGCUGCACACAAACCAAGGUGCAGGAGGCCUGAGGGGAGUGGCCCUGUGAGGGAGGGCUGUGUGCCUUCUCUCAAUGGGGUUUACCUAGCAUUCUGA